UACGUAGGCGGAAAAUUAAGUCAGUAGUGAAAUCCUGCAGCUUAACUGUAGAACUGUUAUUGAUACUGGUUUUCUUGAAUAUAGUUGAGGUAGGCGGAAUGUGUAAUGUAGCGGUGAAAUGCUUAGAUAUUACACAGAGCACCGAUUGCGAAGGCAGCUUACUAAGCUAUGAUUGACGCUGAGGUACGAAAGCGUGGGGAGCGAACAGGAUUAGAUACCCUGGUAGUCC
Molecule: ribosomal RNA, 229 nt
Filed under: uncultured bacterium
Lineage: Bacteria
Description: partial 16S ribosomal RNA
Rfam family: Bacterial small subunit ribosomal RNA
Source: RNAcentral